GAAGCUGAGAACAGUCGCUUGCGUGGUAUAACAGAUUGGCGUAGCUGGGAGUGUAAUAUUUCUUGGAAAAACGGAGCCAUUUGUAAUUUGUUAUUUUAGAAUUCAUAUUUAUGAAGGAACGACGACGACAAAUGUAAACGUCUUAAAGUCAAGUUAUGUUGAGUGAAACCAAACUGAACAUACGCUUCGUGGAUAUUAAAAAUCGGAAAAUGGAGAACUGGGGUAAGGUAUUUCCCAACCAAUCAGAGCGUGUGAGUGUUCAACAACCAACCAAGAAGUUAUAUCAUUAUGACGUCAAUAAUGAUACAGACUUGAUGUUUAAUUUUGAUGGAGAGUUUUACGUAGCUGUAAAGCAGAAUGAAAACCUGACCAAAAGCGAUUUGGUCGAAUUUACUUUAAACAUAAAUGGCGAUACAGUCACUUCGAUUGUAUCUAGAAAUAACUGUGUUAUAAAUUGUACGUCAAAUGGUUUCUGUGUUUAUAAUAUUCCUGAUAUAACAACAGAUGAUGUUAAAGAUGGACCAGCGGUAGUUGAUCUAGAGUUUGAUGGGCUCGUCCAUUGUGCUGCUGGUAUCCUGGUAAAAGAUGACGUCAUUGAAACCUCUCUGGAUCUUUCAGGAAUCAAUAUAAAUGACGUUACCGUGAUAACUGAUACCGAUGACUAUACAUGUAGCCAGCUGAUUCCAUGUCAUAAUGAUAAGGGUUCUAAAUAUCAACUGCGUUCAGAUACGUUUGGAAAGUCAGAGAUGAGUUUGGUGAAAUGGACUGAAAUUCAAAAAAAAAGAAAGUCACCAAAUAAUGGCGAGAUUUUAAGAAACAAUCGUACCCGUCCAUUGGAAAACACGAAUUUCCUUCCAGAUAAUGACGUCAUACAAACCAAGAAAGCCAGAACAACAAGUCCACUAACAGAUUUCACACAAUAUUCUGUACCUAAAACUUAUAGUGAGGAGGUUAGGGGUUUCUCUAACCAAUCUGUCUUACCGUAUGGUGUUGUUCACUGAUGUAAACAAGACUGAAUGAAUGAGCCGAAUGGAUUGACUACGCACAAGUAGUUGGGAUAUGUUAUUGAUGUCGAAAAUAUUCGUUCAUUCUGUAAAUAUCCCAUUCGAGUAACUGUUACCAUGCAGUGAUGAUGAAUGUCUGAAUAUCUGUGUAUCUGUGUGUGUCAAAGAGACAAGUACGUGGCUGUGUGUCAUUGUGGAGAUACAAAACUAACAAUUCACAAAAUUAAAUAUGGGUUUGAGCUAGUCAUUGCGAGCUUUAUUUUGCUGUUGGAAUCGUUUUUUUACGAUUUAUGUAUAGUACACGUUUCUAUCUUUAGUACCAGAAAAUAAAUGACGGUACUUAAAGAUGUCUGUCGUAUUUUGAAAUUCAAUGAGUACCUCACACUUAUGAAAAAGAAAAAAUGGAAAGGGCGAGCUUUGAAGUGUAGAUUUUUCAUUAAUAAUAGAACGAUUAUUAUUCUUACUGAGGUUACUCAGAUGUAAGAAAACCAGAAGCGAAAGUGUGGGAAAAAUCACAGCUUUUAUUACUUUGUUCGGGAAAAUCCCUGCUUUUCACAUAUUUUGAGAAAAAAAAAACACCUUUUGUCAUUUUGUACAGAAAAAAAACCCGCUGUUCUAAUUUUUGGGGUAAAUGCCCGCUUUGGAUACUUUUUUGGGACAAAGUUUACAGUGAAAUCCCGGUAUUAAUACCGAUGCUGGGACUGAUAUAAAGUGGUCUUAAUAGUAGCUUGGUCUUAUUAAAGAGGGGGUCUUAAUCCUGAGUUGAAAUCCCAAGGUAGAUAUUUGAUUUUCUGUAAUACAAAACCUAGGUGUUAAUAAUCGUAUUUUAUGACUGGUUUCUACUCCGCGAAAUAUAUUUUAAUAUUUACCUGACAAAUAAAUAACUCGUGUAUAA
Patella vulgata (common limpet) is the source of this 1899-nucleotide long non-coding RNA. RefSeq lists it as uncharacterized. Lineage: Eukaryota; Metazoa; Mollusca; Gastropoda; Patellidae. The transcript has 5 exons. The record is from RefSeq and is a predicted model, not a curated record.